CCUACGGGAGGCUGCAGUCGAGAAUCUUCGGCAAUGGGCGCAAGCCUGACCGAGCGACGCCGCGUGGAGGACGAAGGCCUUCGGGUUGUAAACUCCUGUUGGGGGGGAACAAGGGCCGGCGAAGAGCCGGCCUCGAGUGAUCCCCCGAGGAAGCACGGGCUAAGUUCGUGCCAGCAGCCGCGGUAAGACGAACCGUGCGAACGUUAUCCGGAAUCAUUGGGCUUAAAGGGCGCGUAGACGGGCGACCGCGUCGAGUGCGGAAAUCCCCCGGCUCAACCGGGGAGCAGGCCUCGAGACGGGUCGCCUCGAGUGGAGGAGAGGGAGCCGGAACCCACGGUGGAGCGGUGAAAUGCGUUGAGAUCGUGGGGAACGCCGACGGCGAAAGCAGGCUCCUGGACUCCGCCUGACGUUGAGGCGCGAAAGCCAGGGGAGCGAACGGG
Molecule: ribosomal RNA, 440 nt
Filed under: uncultured bacterium
Lineage: Bacteria
Description: bacterial SSU rRNA
Rfam family: Bacterial small subunit ribosomal RNA
Source: RNAcentral